AAUAGAUACCCGGUAGUCCACGCCGUAAACGAUGAGUGCUAAGUGUUAGGGGGUUUCCGCCCCUUAGUGCUGCAGCUAACGCAUUAAGCACUCCGCCUGGGGAGUACGGUCGCAAGACUGAAACUCAAAGGAAUUGACGGGGGCCCGCACAAGCGGUGGAGCAUGUGGUUUAAUUCGAAGCAACGCGAAGAACCUUACCAGGUCUUGACAUCCCAUUGACCGCUAUGGAGACAUAGCUUUCCCUUCGGGGACAGUGGUGACAGGUGGUGCAUGGUUGUCGUCAGCUCGUGUCGUGAGAUGUUGGGUUAAGUCCCGCAACGAGCGCAACCCUUGUUCUUAGUUGCCAUCAUUUAGUUGGGCACUCUAAGGAGACUGCCGGUGACAAACCGGAGGAAGGUGGGGAUGACGUCAAAUCAUCAUGCCCCUUAUGACCUGGGCUACACACGCGCUACAAUGGACGGUACAAACGGUUGCCAACCCGCGAGGGGGAGCUAAUCCGAUAAAACCGUUCUCAGUUCGGAUUGUAGGCUGCAACUCGCCUAC
Molecule: ribosomal RNA, 543 nt
Filed under: uncultured bacterium
Lineage: Bacteria
Description: bacterial SSU rRNA
Rfam family: Bacterial small subunit ribosomal RNA
Source: RNAcentral